Molecule: ribosomal RNA, 494 nt
Filed under: Rhodotorula sp. DMKU-SP240
Lineage: Eukaryota; Fungi; Basidiomycota; Microbotryomycetes; Sporidiobolales; Sporidiobolaceae
Description: LSU rRNA
Rfam family: Eukaryotic large subunit ribosomal RNA
Source: RNAcentral
CGAGUUGUAAUCUAAAAAAGUGUUUUCCGCGUUGGACCGCAACAAGUCUGUUGGAAUACAGCGGCAUAGUGGUGAGACCCCCGUAUAUGGUGCGGACGCCCAACGCUUUGUGAUACACUUUCGAAGAGUCGAGUUGUUUGGGAAUGCAGCUCAAAUUGGGUGGUAAAUUCCAUCUAAAGCUAAAUAUUGGCGAGAGACCGAUAGCGAACAAGUACCGUGAGGGAAAGAUGAAAAGCACUUUGGAAAGAGAGUUAACAGUACGUGAAAUUGUUGGAAGGGAAACGCUUGAAGUCAGACUUGCUUGCCGAGCAAUCGGUUUGCAGGCCAGCAUCAGUUUUCCGGGGUGGAUAAUGGUAGAGAGAAGGUAGCAGUUUCGGCUGUGUUAUAGCUCUCUGCUGGAUACACCUUGGGGGACUGAGGAACGCAGUGUGCCUUACGGCGGAUUUCUCGAGAUCUUCACACUUAGGAUGCUGGUGGAAUGGCUUUAAACGACC